This 175-nucleotide microRNA precursor is filed under the name Oryza meridionalis. RNAcentral's name for it is "MIR812 microRNA precursor family". It matches the Rfam family "MIR812 microRNA precursor family". The record is from Rfam by way of RNAcentral. Lineage: Eukaryota; Viridiplantae; Streptophyta; Magnoliopsida; Poales; Poaceae.
UCUAAAGUUAUGAGUUUUUAUGUCUAACAUUUGAUUGUUCGUUUUAUUUUAAUUUUUUAUUAUUAGAUGAUAAAAUAUAAAUAAUGUUUUAUGUGUUAUUAUUUAAAAAAUUAUAAAUUUUUAAAUAAAGCAAGCGGUUAAACGUUAGAUACGAAAACCCACAGGUAUACAUAAA